GACGAACGCUGGCGGCGGGCUUAACACAUGCAAGUCGAACGGAAAGGCCCUGCGUGUGUGGGGUGCUCGAGUGGCGAACGGGUGAGGAACACGUGAGUAACCUGCCCUUGACUUUGGGAUAACUUCAGGAAACUGGGGCUAAUACCGUAUAGGAGCUCAUGCUGCAUUGUGGGGAGUGGAAAUUUUCGGCGGUUGGGGAUGGACUCGCGGCUGAUCAGCUUGUUGGUGGGGUAGUGGCUUACCAAGGCAUUGACGGGUAGCCAGCCUGGGAGGGUGACCGGCCACCUUGGGCCUGCGGUACGGCCCAGACUCCUACGUGAGGCAGCAGUGGGGAAUCUUGCACAAUGGGCGCACGCCUGUUGCAGCAACGCUGCGUGCGUGAUGCCGGCCUUCGGGUUGUAAACCGCUUUAGCCUGUGACGAAGCGUUAGUGACGGUAAUGGGUAAAGAAGCACCGGCUAACUACGUG
Molecule: ribosomal RNA, 468 nt
Filed under: uncultured bacterium
Lineage: Bacteria
Description: partial 16S ribosomal RNA
Rfam family: Bacterial small subunit ribosomal RNA
Source: RNAcentral